GACGAACGCUGGCGGCGUGCUUAACACAUGCAAGUCGAACGAAGUGGCGAACGGGUGAGUAAUACGUGGGUAACCUGCCCUCCUUUUUGGGAUAAGCCUUGGAAACGGGGUCUAAUACCGAAUAAAGGGGGAUGGGCUCGCGGCCUAUCAGCUUGUUGGGGGGGGGAUGGCCUACCAAGGCGGUGACGGGUAGCCGGCCUGAGAGGGUGACCGGCAACAUUGGGACUGAGAGACGGCUCAGACUCCUACGGGAGGCAGCAGUGGGGGAUAUUGCACAAUGGGCGAAAGCCUGAUGCAGCGACGCCGCGUGGGUGAUGAAGUCGUUCGGGUUGUAAACCGCGGUCGCUAUCGAACGGGUAGGUGAAGAAGAAGCGCCGGCUAACUACGUGCCAGCAGCCGCGGUAAUAC
RNAcentral lists this ribosomal RNA (408 nucleotides) under uncultured bacterium. RNAcentral's name for it is "partial 16S ribosomal RNA". It matches the Rfam family "Bacterial small subunit ribosomal RNA", at positions 28 to 526 of the family's 1533-position model. The record is from RNAcentral.